UGCUGGGGAUGACAGGAAGAGAAGACUUAAACGUAGUAAUAAUUGCAGAAAGCAUAUGCAAAAGAUAGAAACUUUCUUGAACUUCUUCUCCAUUGACUACUGCUUUUUUUUUUUUACAGCACAACAAAGAACAGCUUUUCUUUGUGUUUUUUCUUCAAGAUUUGCUUUGUAAAGCUUAUUUUUUUGCUUAAUUCAAAGUAAAGUUUUAAUCUUUGGUUCAAACUCUGCUCUUUCUUUCACAGCCUAUAAAGAUUGGUGCUUGCUUAAAGAACCGCCAUUUGUCAUUACCAAGGAAGAUAGUGCUUUAUGUUACAGCGAUGAAGGGAAACAAGUUUACAUGAUCUAUAGAAUUGAACAGUAACUGCAGUAUGGAACUGUUCCUUGCAAUUCUGAUAUUAGCAUGUCUCUACUCAUUUGUCUCGCCUGAUCAGCAGGGAGAUGCACUGUUUGCAUUGAAGAGUUCACUAAAUGCUUCGAAUGAUCAACUUUCUGAUUGGAAUCAGAAUCAAGUUAAUCCAUGCACUUGGUCAAAGAUAACUUGUGACGAUAACAGCAAUGUCUUGAUGGUGUCAUUGUCAAAUAUGGGGUUCACUGGCACUUUAACUCCAAGAUUAGGUGUUCUAGUGCAUCUUAAUACUCUUUCUUUGCAAGGAAAUGGAAUAACUGGUAAGAUUCCCGAAGCACUAGGAAAUUUAACCAGCUUGACCAUGUUGGAUCUGGAAAAAAACCGUUUGUCUGGAGAAAUACCAGCUUCCCUGGGCAAUCUAAAAAAGCUUCAAUUUCUUUUUUUGAGUCAAAACAAUCUGUCUGGGACUAUCCCUGACUCACUUUCAGGCCUUCCCAACUUGAUUAACCUUCAGCUUGCAUUAAAUGAUCUUACUGGAAAAGUUCCUGACAGUUUGUUCCAAGUCCCGAAAUACAAUUUUUCAGAGAACCAUUUGAAUUGUGGCUUAAACUUCAGUCAUCGUUGUGUAUCUGACAGUGAAGGUUCUCCCAGUAAAUCAAAGACUGGUCUCGUAAUUGGUAUCGUUGGUGGAUUUCUUGGAAUUAUCCUUCUUGGGGGAUUAAUGUUAUUUUUCUGGCGGGGGAGGAACAAAGGCUACAAACGUGAAAUCUAUGUUGAUGUUCCAGGUGAGGUUGACAGACGAAUUCCAUUUGGUCAAUUGAGGAGAUUCGCAUGGAGGGAAUUGCAACUCGCUACUGAUAACUUUAGUGAAAAGAAUGUUCUUGGACAGGGAGGUUUUGGCAAGGUUUAUAAAGGAGUGCUCAGUGAUAGCACUAAAGUUGCUGUAAAACGCUUAACUGACUAUGAGAGUCCUGGGGGAGAUGCUGCAUUUCAGCGUGAAGUUGAGAUGAUUAGUGUUGCUGUUCAUAGAAAUCUUUUGCGGCUUAUAGGAUUUUGCACCACACCGACUGAACGCUUGCUAGUAUACCCGUAUAUGCAGAACCUAAGUGUUGCCUAUCGUCUACGAGAACUUAAACCUGGGGAGUCUGUUUUAGCUUGGCCAACCAGAAAGCGCGUGGCACUGGGCACUGCACGUGGACUUGAAUACCUGCAUGAACACUGUAAUCCAAAAAUUAUUCACCGUGAUGUUAAAGCAGCUAAUGUUUUACUGGAUGAAGAUUUCGAGGCUGUAGUUGGUGAUUUUGGCUUGGCAAAGUUAGUUGAUGUUAGGAAAACCAACGUGACUACUCAGGUUCGGGGUACUAUGGGCCAUAUAGCUCCUGAGUACUUGUCCACUGGGAAAUCAUCAGAAAAAACUGAUGUUUUUGGAUAUGGGAUCAUGCUUUUGGAGAUUGUAACUGGUCAACGCGCUAUAGACUUUUCACGCCUAGAAGAAGAAGAUGAUGUCUUGUUACUUGACCAUGUUAAAAAACUGCAAAGGGAGAAAAGGCUGGAUGCUAUUGUCGACCGCAACCUACAUAAGAACUAUAACAUGGAUGAAGUAGAGAUGAUGAUUCAAGUUGCAUUGCUGUGUACUCAAGGAUCACCAGAGGACCGUCCAGCAAUGUCAGAGGUAGUACGAAUGCUUGAAGGAGAGGGACUUGCUGAGCGGUGGGAAGAAUGGCAGCAUGUCGAAGUUACACGUAGGCAAGAAUACGAGAGACUACAACGACGAUUUGAUUGGGGCGAAGAUUCAAUCUAUAAUCAAGAUGCAGUUGAACUGUCUGGUGGAAGAUAACAAGAUCUGUAACUCCAAACAAGUACAUAAUUUCCUGGAGAAGGCCUCAUUUGUGCUAUGAUGCUGUGGCCUCAGCUUGAACGUUGACGUUUGCUCGUCUCCUUGCCUGUCCUAACCAUUGCCCGUGAUCAUGAUUCCCUCCGUCACUUUCAUCAGCAAGAAGGUACUGUGGUGUCCUUUCCGAGGUCCUCUGAUUCGUAUUAGUAUCUUCAAAAUGAACAGUGCACUUCAUGUAAUCUGCACCCGACAUAGCAAGAGCAUCAACUGACAUAGCUUCAAACUCUCCUAUUCUCUCUCGUCAAGGCUCUAAAGUCUUCGAAAUAAGGUAAGUUAUUUGACAUUGAUGAAGCGUAUUUAUACUGAUUCCGCCCUUAACAUAUCUCGUGCAUUGUUGUUCUUUUCAUUUUCGAUACAAAAUUCUGACAUGUGAAAGAAGUUAUAGCAGCCUAGACACUUUAUACAUACAGAACAUAUGAAUUCGUUGAUAUAUCCGUGACUCGAGUUGCUUUUUUCGCCUUUUCUACUGGGAAUUUAAUGGUUUUGUGGACACUUUUUCUAUGUCUUAGAGAAGAUAUUUGUUGUUAUGAUACAGUCAUGUUCAUUCAAUGUAUGAAGAGUUUAUAUUACCAGUUGUUAUAGGGAACAUAUAUGUGGUGAUGAAGAGAUUAUAGUAAAAAGGAGAUGAAUUA
Molecule: RNA transcript, 2872 nt
Organism: Solanum lycopersicum (tomato)
Lineage: Eukaryota; Viridiplantae; Streptophyta; Magnoliopsida; Solanales; Solanaceae
Gene name: probable LRR receptor-like serine/threonine-protein kinase At5g10290
Source: RefSeq, a predicted model, not a curated record